AAGACCCGAAUGAACUUUUUGG
This 22-nucleotide microRNA is filed under the name Cervus elaphus (red deer). RNAcentral's name for it is "PC-3p-37582". Lineage: Eukaryota; Metazoa; Chordata; Mammalia; Artiodactyla; Cervidae. The record is from RNAcentral.